This 915-nucleotide ribosomal RNA is filed under the name Panagrellus pycnus. RNAcentral's name for it is "SSU rRNA". It matches the Rfam family "Eukaryotic small subunit ribosomal RNA", at positions 46 to 966 of the family's 1831-position model. The record is from RNAcentral. Lineage: Eukaryota; Metazoa; Nematoda; Chromadorea; Rhabditida; Panagrolaimidae.
UAGCCAUGCAUGUCUAAGUACAUGUAGCUUGCCUACGAAACCGCGUAUGGCUCAUUACAACAGCUAUGAUUCUAUUGAUCAUGACACUUUCCUAUAUGGAUAACUGCGGUAAUUCUGGAGCUAAUACAUGCAUAAAAGCGGGGUCACUCGUUGGCACCGUGCACUUAUUAGAACAAAACCAACUUGUUGAUUUUGUUGACUCGGAAUAAUUAUUACGCUGAUUGCAUGGCCUUUGUGCCGGCAAUGUGUCAAAGCUGUGUCUGCCCUAUCACACUUCCAACGGCAGUGUAUUGUCCUGACGUGGUUGUGACGGGUAACGGAGAAUUAGGGUUCGACUCCGGAGAAAUAGCCUGAGAAACGGCUUUUACAUCCAAGGAAGGCAGCAGGCGCGAAAAUUACCCACUCUUAGUACGAGGAGGUAGUGACGAGAAGUGACAAGAUCUGUCCCUUCGGGGGCGGGUCAUUGGAAUGGUUUGAAUUUACAACCUUCCUAGAUUAUCUAUGAGAGGGCAAGUCUGGUGCCAGCAGCCGCGGUAAUUCCAGCUCUCAUACUGCAUUGAAUCGUUGUUGCGGUUAAAAAGCUCGUAGUUGGAUCUGUACACGGUGUCUGUGGACUGCUCCUAGUGGGUGGUUCUGCAGCACGUGUUUAAUGGUCGGUGUGUGGCGGAUCCCUCGGGGUUCGUCGCUGCUGACGAGUUUACUUUGAAUAAAUCAGAGUGCUCAAAACAGGCGUAUGCUUGUAUGGUUUUGCAUGGAAUAAUGGAAUACGACACUGCGUGUGAUUGUUUUUCAUUGGUUUUGCUCACCAGUGUAAUGAUUAAAAGGGACAAACGGGGGCAUUCGUAUCGUCGGGCGAGAGGUGAAAUUCGUGGACCCUGGCGAGACGUACUACAGCGAAAGCAUUUGCCAAGAAUG